AGCAGCCGCGGUAAUUCCAGCUCCAAUAGCGUAUAUUAAAGUUGUUGCAGUUAAAAAAGCUCGUAGUUGAAUUUCGGGGUCAGUAGGUUGGUCGUGCCACUGGUAUGUACUGGUCUCACUGAUUCCUCCUUCCUGAUGAACCGUAAUGCCAUUAAUUUGGUGUUGCGGGGAAUCUGGACUGUUACUUUGAAAAAAUUAGAGUGUUUAAAGCAGGCUAACGCUUGAAUACAUUAGCAUGGAAUAAUGGAAUAGGACGUUCGAUCCUAUUUUGUUGGUUUCUAGGAUUGACGUAAUGAUUAAUAGGGAUAGUUGGGGGCAUUAGUAUUCAAUUGUCAGAGGUGAAAUUCUUGGAUUUAUUGAAGACUAACUACUGCGAAAGCAUUUGCCAAGGAUAGUUUUCUAUUAAUCAAGAACGAAAGUUAGGAAUCGAGACGAUCAGAUACCGUACGUAGUCUUAACCAUAAACUAUGCCGACUAGGGAUCGGAUAAUGUUAAUUUUUUAAUUGACUUCAUUCGGCGC
Molecule: ribosomal RNA, 520 nt
Filed under: uncultured Glomus
Lineage: Eukaryota; Fungi; Glomeromycota; Glomeromycetes; Glomerales; Glomeraceae
Description: SSU rRNA
Rfam family: Eukaryotic small subunit ribosomal RNA
Source: RNAcentral